RNAcentral lists this ribosomal RNA (521 nucleotides) under uncultured bacterium. RNAcentral's name for it is "bacterial SSU rRNA". It matches the Rfam family "Bacterial small subunit ribosomal RNA", at positions 352 to 864 of the family's 1533-position model. The record is from RNAcentral.
CAGUGGGGAAUUUUGGACAAUGGGCGCAAGCCUGAUCCAGCCAUGCCGCGUGUGUGAAGAAGGCCUUCGGGUUGUAAAGCACUUUCGGACGGAACGAAAUCGCGCGCAUGAAUAGUGCGCGUGGAUGACGGUACCGUAAGAAGAAGCACCGGCUAACUACGUGCCAGCAGCCGCGGUAAUACGUAGGGUGCAAGCGUUAAUUGGAAUUACUGGGCGUAAAGGGUGCGCAGGCGGCUCCGCAUGUCAGGCGUGAAAUCCCCGGGCUCAACUUGGGAAUGGCGCUUGAAACUACGGGGCUUGAGUGUGGCAGAGGGAGGUGGAAUUCCACGUGUAGCGGUGAAAUGCGUAGAGAUGUGGAGGAACACCGAUGGCGAAGGCAGCCUCCUGGGCCAACACUGACGCUCAUGCACGAAAGCGUGGGGAGCAAACAGGAUUAGAUACCCUGGUAGUCCACGCCCUAAACGAUGACGACUAGUUGUUGGGGGAGUUAAAUCCCUUAGUAACGCAGCUAACGCGUGAAG